This 842-nucleotide unclassified non-coding RNA is filed under the name Skoua fertilis. RNAcentral's name for it is "sequence contains 28S rRNA gene". It matches the Rfam family "Eukaryotic large subunit ribosomal RNA", at positions 50 to 912 of the family's 3401-position model. The record is from RNAcentral. Lineage: Eukaryota; Fungi; Ascomycota; Leotiomycetes; Myxotrichaceae.
GCGGAGGAAAAGAAACCAACAGGGAUUGCCUCAGUAACGGCGAGUGAAGCGGCAACAGCUCAAAUUUGAAAUCUGGCCCCCUCGGGGUCCGAGUUGUAAUUUGUAGAAGAUGCUUCGGGUGUGGCCCCGGUCUAAGUUCCUUGGAACAGGACGUCACAGAGGGUGAGAAUCCCGUAUGUGACCGGUGGCCUCCCCCGUGUGAAGCUCUUUCGACGAGUCGAGUUGUUUGGGAAUGCAGCUCAAAAUGGGUGGUAAAUUUCAUCUAAAGCUAAAUAUUGGCCAGAGACCGAUAGCGCACAAGUAGAGUGAUCGAAAGAUGAAAAGCACUUUGGAAAGAGGGUUAAACAGUACGUGAAAUUGUUGAAAGGGAAGCGCUUGCAACCAGACUUGCGCGCGGUCGAUCAUCCGGGGUUCUCCCCGGUGCACUCGGCCGUGCGCAGGCCAGCAUCGGUUUGGGCGGCCGGACAAAGGCCUCGGGAAUGUGGCUCCUUCGGGAGUGUUAUAGCCCGAGGUGCAAUGCGGCCAGCCCGGACCGAGGACCGCGCUUCGGCUAGGAUGCUGGCGUAAUGGUUGUAAGCGGCCCGUCUUGAAACACGGACCAAGGAGUCUAACAUCUAUGCGAGUGUUUGGGUGGCAAACCCAUCCGCGUAAUGAAAGUGAACGGAGGUGAGAACCCUUAAGGGCGCAUCAUCGACCGAUCCUGAUGUCUUCGGAUGGAUUUGAGUAAGAGCAUAGCUGUUGGGACCCGAAAGAUGGUGAACUAUGCCUGAAUAGGGUGAAGCCAGAGGAAACUCUGGUGGAGGCUCGCAGCGGUUCUGACGUGCAAAUCGAUCGUCAAAUUU